RNAcentral lists this ribosomal RNA (425 nucleotides) under uncultured bacterium. RNAcentral's name for it is "bacterial SSU rRNA". It matches the Rfam family "Bacterial small subunit ribosomal RNA", at positions 356 to 773 of the family's 1533-position model. The record is from RNAcentral.
GGGGAAUAUUGCACAAUGGGCGCAAGCCUGAUGCAGCCAUGCCGCGUGUAUGAAGAAGGCCUUCGGGUUGUAAAGUACUUUCAGCGAGGAGGAAGGCGUUAAGGUUAAUAACCUUAGCGAUUGACGUUACUCGCAGAAGAAGCACCGGCUAACUCCGUGCCAGCAGCCGCGGUAAUACGGAGGGUGCAAGCGUUAAUUGGAAUUACUGGGCGUAAAGCGCACGCAGGCGGUCUGUCAAGUCGGAUGUGAAAUCCCCGGGCUCAACCUGGGAACUGCAUUCGAAACUGGCAGGCUAGAGUCGUGUAGAGGGGGGUAGAAUUCCAGGUGUAGCGGUGAAAUGCGUAGAGAUCUGGAGGAAUACCGGUGGCGAAGGCGGCCCCCUGGACAAAGACUGACGCUGAGGUGCGAAAGCGUGGGGAGCAAAC